Molecule: ribosomal RNA, 773 nt
Filed under: uncultured Vagococcus sp.
Lineage: Bacteria; Bacillati; Bacillota; Bacilli; Lactobacillales; Enterococcaceae
Description: bacterial SSU rRNA
Rfam family: Bacterial small subunit ribosomal RNA
Source: RNAcentral
GACGAACGCGGGCGGCGUGCCUAAUACAUGCAAGUCGAACGCACGAAAGUUGAAGAGCUUGCUCUUUAACCCAAGUGAGUGGCGGACGGGUGAGUAACACGUGGGUAACCUGCCCAUUAGAGGGGGAUAACAUUCGGAAACGGAUGCUAAUACCGCAUAGUUUCAGGGAUCGCAUGAUUCUUGAAGGAAAGGUGGCUCCGGCUACCACUAAUGGAUGGACCCGCGGCGUAUUAGCUAGUUGGUGAGGUAAUGGCUCACCAAGGCAAUGAUACGUAGCCGACCUGAGAGGGUGGUCGGCCACACUGGGACUGAGACACGGCCCAGACUCCUACGGGAGGCAGCAGUAGGGAAUCUUCCGCAAUGGACGAAAGUCUGACGGAGCAACGCCGCGUGAGUGAAGAAGGUUUUCGGAUCGUAAAACUCUGUUGUUAAAGAAGAACAAGGAUGAGAGUAACUGCUCAUCCCCUGACGGUAUUUAACCAGAAAGCCACGGCUAACUACGUGCCAGCAGCCGCGGUAAUACGUAGGUGGCAAGCGUUGUCCGGAUUUAUUGGGCGUAAAGCGAGCGCAGGCGGUUCUUUAAGUCUGAUGUGAAAGCCCCCGGCUCAACCGGGGAGGGUCAUUGGAAACUGGAGAACUUGAGUGCAGAAGAGGAGAGUGGAAUUCCACGUGUAGCGGUGAAAUGCGUAGAUAUGUAGAGGAACACCAGUGGCGAAGGCGACUCUCUGGUCUGUAACUGACGCUGAGGCUCGAAAGCGUGGGGAGCAAACAGG